RNAcentral lists this long non-coding RNA (232 nucleotides) under Physcomitrium patens. Its description in RNAcentral is "long non-coding RNA (PPAT_LNC007897)". Lineage: Eukaryota; Viridiplantae; Streptophyta; Bryopsida; Funariales; Funariaceae. The record is from RNAcentral.
UGCAAGGUUACUAGUUCGGUUUUCAUUGGAGGUUUUUUUUUGAAGAUCAAGGGAAUGAGAGAGAGGAGCUUCAUGCUUCGGGUCGGGGAAGGAAAGACAUAGAAUUUGGAUUUUUCUUCUUCGUAGAGUUUUGGGAUGACUGAGGCAAUCGCUGCUGAAGUCAGUGUUGUAAUGGUGAAUCGGGAUUUUUAAAUGAAGUGGGUUUGAAUACUCUUGACUGUUUUGUAAAAUC